RNAcentral lists this ribosomal RNA (229 nucleotides) under uncultured bacterium. RNAcentral describes it as "partial 16S ribosomal RNA". It matches the Rfam family "Bacterial small subunit ribosomal RNA", at positions 568 to 796 of the family's 1533-position model. The record is from RNAcentral.
UGCGUAGGCGGAAGAAUAAGUCAGUGGUGAAAUCCUGCAGCUCAACUGUAGAACUGCCAUUGAAACUAUUUUUCUUGAGUAUAGUCGAGGUGGGCGGAAUGUGUCAUGUAGCGGUGAAAUGCUUAGAUAUGACACAGAACACCGAUUGCGUAGGCAGCUCACUAAACUAUCACUGACGCUGAGGCACGAAAGCGUGGGGAGCGAACAGGAUUAGAUACCCUGGUAGUCC